Molecule: ribosomal RNA, 1080 nt
Filed under: Platystomum rosae
Lineage: Eukaryota; Fungi; Ascomycota; Dothideomycetes; Pleosporales; Lophiostomataceae
Description: SSU rRNA
Rfam family: Eukaryotic small subunit ribosomal RNA
Source: RNAcentral
UGUCUAGUAUAGCAUUAUACCGUGAAACUGCGAAUGGCUCAUUAAAUCAGUUAUCGUUUAUUUGAUAGUACCUUACUACUUGGAUAACCGUGGUAAUUCUAGAGCUAAUACAUGCUGAAAACCCUGACUUCGGAAAGGGUGUAUUUAUUAGAUAAAAAACCAAUGCCCUUUGGGCUCUUUGGUGAUUCAUGAUAACUUAACGGAUCGCAUGGCCUUGCGCCGGCGACGGUUCAUUCAAAUUUCUGCCCUAUCAACUUUCGAUGGUAAGGUAUUGGCUUACCAUGGUUUCAACGGGUAACGGGGAAUUAGGGUUCGAUUCCGGAGAGGGAGCCUGAGAAACGGCUACCACAUCCAAGGAAGGCAGCAGGCGCGCAAAUUACCCAAUCCCGACACGGGGAGGUAGUGACAAUAAAUACUGAUACAGGGCUCUUUUGGGUCUUGUAAUCGGAAUGAGUACAAUUUAAACCUCUUAACGAGGAACAAUUGGAGGGCAAGUCUGGUGCCAGCAGCCGCGGUAAUUCCAGCUCCAAUAGCGUAUAUUAAAGUUGUUGCAGUUAAAAAGCUCGUAGUUGAAUCUUGGGCCUGGCUGGCCGGUCCGCCUCACCGCGUGUACUGGUCUGGCCGGGCCUUUCCUUCUGGAGAACCUCAUGCCCUUCAGUGGGUGUGUUGGGGAACCAGGACUUUUACUUUGAAAAAAUUAGAGUGUUCAAAGCAGGCCUUUGCUCGAAUACGUUAGCAUGGAAUAAUAGAAUAGGACGUGCGGUCCUAUUUUGUUGGUUUCUAGGACCGCCGUAAUGAUUAAUAGGGAUAGUCGGGGGCAUCAGUAUUCAAUUGUCAGAGGUGAAAUUCUUGGAUUUAUUGAAGACUAACUACUGCGAAAGCAUUUGCCAAGGAUGUUUUCAUUAAUCAGUGAACGAAAGUUAGGGGAUCGAAGACGAUCAGAUACCGUCGUAGUCUUAACCGUAAACUAUGCCGACUAGGGAUCGGGCGAUGUUUCUAUCUUGACUCGCUCGGCACCUUACGAGAAAUCAAAGUUUUUGGGUUCUGGGGGGAGUAUGGUCGCAAGGCUGAAACUUAAAG